AAAAAAAAAAAGCAACAGAGCAAACUGUUGACUCAGAAUAUGAAUGAAUAGUAAGUUGUGCAAUUUUUCAGUUUGAAGGUUCACCACUAGGAAUAUCUUUAUUUGUAACCAAGAGAAGAAAAGCACGUAGUUUUAAAAAGAAAUGUGAAUGAUUGCAUUAUACUGUCACACAAUCUAUGCCUGCACAGCGUUGUUAUGGAAAGUUGGUUGCUUUGUCCAUUAAGAAACUGCAUAAUGCCUAAUUCAAAUGAAAGAGAAUCUUCCAAAUAGCAGAGGGAAUGAAAUUUCAGACCUGUUCUCUACUUUUGAAGUUUAAAACACUUUGAGAAAAGACCAGUCUACAGAUUUUUUUGGAAUUUUUACAGACUCCCAGUUAUAUCACAGUCUUUCUAUUACUAAACUGCGCUAGAUGCAAAGAUACUUCAAAGCUAACAAAAGUAAAACAGAUGCAUGUAAUGUGCACAUUAUUGCAAGACUCCCAAAGUUUUCUGUCCGUAAAAAGAUACAUGAAAACAUUUUAGAUACUUCCAAUGCUGCAGAUUUUCUGACAACUCUAAGAACAUGAUCACAAGGCUUUCUGAGGCUACAGACUGAGUUAAGAAUCAUCCCAGUACAGCAAUGAAGCAAGACAUUUACUCACUUCUAGAGUAGAAAUCCUUCUGACAACCAAGAGGAAGAUUCGGGCGUCUGACAGCCUAGGGUCUGGGGAGCUUUCUAUGAGCAGUCCAUAAACCUGGAGCCACUGUGUGGUGGUCAGCGUAACCUACUUGUUGUGGAUCUCAUCACUUAUGGAUCUCAUGCUUUGGUCUUCCUUCUCCCAGUAGGUCAAGAGGGACAAUGAAGGUAAAAAGUUAUGAUGUUAUAGUGUUUGCUGUCUUACUAGUAAUAACUGUUUUAUGGUCAUUGAUGUCUUACUGAUUCUACACUGAUUUACAGAAGAUUCGAUUUUUCAGUUCCUCCAGACUCGUGUAGCUGAUAUUUAAUAUCUUCAUGGAUUGAAUAAUGAAAGUCUGCACUAGAUAUAGUUUCUGCCUAAUUCUUAUUUUGUGAUUUAGGAGCCACUGGAAACUCUUUUUUUUCCAAGAAGUUUAGACUGCUAAAUACUUUGGCAGCAGGUCAAAGUUGACACCUGCCUAAAGAAGCAAGAACUGUGUAACUCCUUGUAUGAAAAGAGUUUAAAAGAAGUCAGCAUCAAACACUACAGAUUUUCAUACCCUGGGAUACUCUGCAGCUUCAAUGAAAAUUCUUCUGCUGGAAGGGAAGAACUCUAUCUACACCAUAUUCAACAAAUGGAUGGAGGAGUGUCCCAUUUCAUCGGUGCUCAGCAGAUGCUGUGGAAAAAAGCUCAAAUACUUCCUCAAGAGCUUAUUAGCUAUUAUUUAUGUCAGCAUCUCUCAUGCUAAAACAUAGAAGUAACUUGUCAGCUUUUGCAUAUUGUAGGCCAAGCUCUUUCAGUUCUCUAGCCAUUAGUACUUCCAUUAGCACUUUUUGAGAAACUUACUGUGUAAUUGUGGAUACUGCUGAUCACAUCAAGUCUUUAGAAUAUGUAGCCACAUACCUAUUUACUCCCCCAAUUACUGAAUUUCACAUCAUUCUUCUGCUGUCAAUUUGUUCUUUAGAAAACUAGGCUUUUAUUUAUUUAUUUAGCAAUUUGUGUGUGCUUAAGACAGUCUGACUCAAUUGCCACUCAUAGUCUAGGGAUAAUUACAUGUUAGAUACUAUAAAUGGAAACAAAGCAUGUAUUUCCCUGAAAAUACAGAAGAAGAGGAAAAAAAUAACAAAGAGCAGGCAGUAGAAACACUUUAAACCUCUUGUCUUUCCAUACCAGCUGUUCGACACUAGCACUCUUAUUAAAAUCACUUUUAGAGUGAAAUCAUACAGUGAUGCUGCUUCUGAGAUAUUAAUAUUGUCAUGUCUAAGACUGGAUUAUCCUCCCUAGGGCACUUUUUAGCAGGCUUUAGGUCCUUGCCAACACCAGCAAUAUUUGGACCCCUACUGAUGAUAGAGUAAAAGAAUUGCCUUCUGUCUUAAAGAGAAUAACUGCUCCUUGUGACUCACACCUCCUUACUCCUCUUGAAUGCAGCUGUCUUUUUCUUAUCACAGUUCAAGUAAAUUUACAAGGAUGCUUUAGUAAGAGAAAACUGAAAAGGCUGCUUAUUCUCCAAGCUCACUAUGUUGGCUUUUUUUUUCUGAGGAGCACUCAUUGUUCAGUAAUGAUAUUCCCUGCUGAAUUCACAAAUUGAAUCUGGGGGAGAGAGAGCGAGGAUGUUUUGAAGGUUAAAUUAAAUGACACGUUUUGUCAGCAUGGCCCAUAAAGAUGAUAAUGUGUUAUUUAUUGUGAGUUUUGAUGUUAUCAGGUUUGCACAACAUAGAAUGUAAUCUCUGGAAUAUCUGCUAGAUUUAUCCCAUGUUUCUGGAGCCCAAACAGCCAUGGAAAGCCUCUGGUUUUCUAUUGGUCAAGUAGCAUAAUGUAAAAAUGGUUUUAUACCUCUAAUCUGGACAUGAUGGGUCAUAAACACUUCUCCCUACCCAGGAUGAACCAAGCAACAACUCUUGAUUUGGCACCACGUUUCUACCAAUGUCUGAUAAAGAAAGCUGAAUUUAUUUUACAGCUGUGUGCCACUGCUUGUGGCAGAAUUACCGAAGUUAUCCCAAAUGGGUGCCUGGAGAUGUAACCAUAUGAUUUUACAGUGGAGGGACAAAGAUGAAUAGAAAAUGAGAAAGCAGAAAUUAUGUAAUAUUGUGAACUAUUGUAUUUUUGGUAAGCUCACACCAGCAUCAUUGUCCAAGGUUGCCAGUGCUUUGACAGCAUCCCGAGUGCCCCCAUCACAACAGUUAUACCAUUCGUCACUUAGAGGAGCAGUGAAGCAGCAUUUUUACUCCAUCAUUCUUAGCAAGUCUCCCCAAUGAUAGCACAAAACAUAUGCUGCACUUUUCUCACAUCCAGCUUGCCUCUUCAGAGCACUAAAGUACAAUUCAGUUUGGCUCUUGAUAGAAGAAGUAGUAAAAGGCAAAAGAUUUGCAUGAACAUACUGAAGCCCAUCCAAGUUCAAAUGAAGCAGUAAUCCAAAAUUUUGGGUUGGCUUUGUGGAAGAAGGGAGAUGUGGGAGAAAAUGAAAGUAGACAUUAAAGCAGUGUAUAUAGUAUUAUGUAAAUGAAAGCCCAAAUUUUCAGACCUAGCUAAGCAUUACAUAAAUGACUGUAGCAAAUGUUUCAAAUUAAUGUAGCAAUUUUGCUACACUAUUAUUUAUGAGCAGUAAUUAUCUUAAUUUCUGUGUAACACUGAAUUAUUUCUGCCAUUUUUGGUUAAGACCUAACAGUUUCUUUAACCUUCUAAUAAUUGAAAGCCUGCAGUUCAUGUAUUGAUUUCUUCUGAAAACAGAACUUUUAAAAUAUUUGAAAUUGCUGUAGGAAAAAGAAAAAAUCAUUUUCUAGAACUAAUGUGAAAUUUUUUCUAUAUGUUUCCAAGUUCUUGAAUUCAGUGCUUAUAACACGAACUAACAGCUGAACUCUGAGGAUAAAGAAACUGUUAUGGCACCUGUGUAAGUUAUGUCUCUAAGCCACCUCUUCUGUUCUGUUACUAUUGGCCUUAAUAUGAAAGGUUCUUUCAAUAUUCUUCAUGAUCUGUUGGAAAGAAAUAAAAUUCUUAAAAAUUUAAAAUCUUCCUACAUAAGACAUAAGAACAUUACAUAAGAAAUCUUAACACAAGCAAGAUAUUAAGAUGUAUAGAAAAUAUCGCGUACUCAGGGAACUUUAUACAGAAAUAAUGAUGUAAAUUAUUGUAGAACCUUGGAGAUAUGUCAGGUAUCUAAAAAUCAGAAGAUAGUCACCGUUAAAAUUGAAAGACAAUAACAAAAAGGAACCUUAGAAAAACUGAUAAUAAAAACAUGCUUCUUUUCCCUUUCUUAGUAUAGAGAAAAACAUGUAAGGAUAGAAUUUUAUUGGUAAGAGGAUUAGGAACUUCUUGUAUCAUAGAACAAGAACAUAUUUUACAUGAAAAGUAGAAGUAGGAUAUCAAACCAUGGAAAAUUCUGAGACAAGUACUUAAUCGGAAACAAAGUAUGAGUAAGUAUUUGUAAUUUCUGUAGAUUGUUCAGAAUUAUAGUUAAUUCUAACAAGCAUUGUGGAAAAAAUAUUGUAUCUCUUGUAAAAUUAGAGAGAAUAUGAAGAUGAAUAUCUGUGUAUUCUUUUACAGUGUCUGCUGUUGGUCACUUUGAAAAAAUGGUUUAGUGAAUUAGAGGAACAUCUGGAUUGAUCCAGUAUGACAAAAUCCUUUCAAAAUUGAAAUGUAAAUAACUUAAAAUUUGGCUGUCUGAAAUUACGUACUUAAUUUAAAGACUCAAGAAUUCAUUGAUCUAAGGGGAGGAAGCGUUAUUGAGAGAAUAAAUAAUAAAAGCCAAUAAACUAGGGAACUAUCUAGUAUUUUGUUGUUAGUGGUGAUGCUGAUGAUUAUGAUGAUUUUUCUUUGUUUACCUUCAGGGAGCAGAGGAUGGACUUUAUCCUCCUUUCUUAUUUUAUCCUCAUGAGAAUUCAAUCCACUGAUAUCUGACCAUCACGUUCUAUCAGUGUCUGAGAUGCACCUCAUGAGAUCUGAUGGCAGUCAAAGACUCCUGAGUAGAAAAUGUAUUCAAAAUUCCACUGUUUGGCCACUAGAUGACUCUCUGACCUAUUUAAAUUUAGCAGGAAAUGUAUGUGGUAGACACUGGGAACACAAAAAAUUGAUUAACUUAUUGUUGAUAUUGGUAGUUCUGUAUAGAAAGAGAGUCAGGAAUCAAGACAAAAUUCAAGCUCAAAUAUUUUAAUAACUUCAUUUUUUUCCCCCUCAAGUCCACCAGAACUUAAGGAGAAAUACAAAUGCACACACACAAGGACAAAAAAGCAAUCUUGACAAAUCUAAUAGACAAAUCUGAAACUCCAAUGUUAUCACUACAUUUGUAAUAGGUAACAGUAGGAAAUAGUGUCUGAUGAUAAUUCUACUGAUGUUCUGCUGGUUCUAAAAGCUCCAGAUAUAUUUAAUUCUUUCUUUCAGAAAUUUUGGUCUCUUCCUGGGGAGUAGUGUUAUUAUUUCUUUAUUUCUAUCACAAAUGCUUAAGGAAGUUGCAGUAGCAUACAAGUUAUGGUUACUCUCAUCUCACAGGUGAGCAACUGUAAAGCUGCUAAAAAAGGACUUGAAUGCAUGUGUGUGAGAAAUAAAAGUCAGAUCUGAUUUGAAAUUCCACAACUAAGUGAUAUAUUGAUAAAGGUUAUUCUGGAUCAUGAAUUUUAAGUCUGACUACUGACAUCUGCAGUAUUUCAAUGGUUGACAAACCCACUAAACUGACCAAUUAGAUUCCCUGUAUAAAGAGAAUACAGUGAAUCCCAAAAAUGCAUUCUUCAUUGCUGUUUUAUGCUGAAUCAAAGAACAGAUGGUAUGGCUGCCAAUUGGUGUUCAGAAUCAUAAGAACAUUAGAAGAAUAUUCUGUUGUGAAGUGUAGAGCAGUAAGCAACUCAACAAACCAAGUUUUGAUAGAAUUUCUUAUCUGCUUAUGAAAAAUUCAGGAACUAGCACUCCUAUACAGAUACACACACACAUGUAUAUAAUGCUUACAGUUCUUUCCAAAGUGAAUUACUGUCACAUGGUAUAAAGAAACCACAUACAUUAAGAUCCAAAUUAUCAAUGUUUGUUUCUUACACAUAAUGGAGAAAAUGGAACAAUUUUGAAGACUGUGUGAAUACUUGUUUAGCCUUGUUUUUGAUACCAUGAUCAGAAUCACUGUUAAAUAAAAACUAUUUUUUCCCACCUGUAAAGAUUAUGUUUUCAUAAGACAAUAUUAAAAAUGAUUUAUUUGGUCAGCAGAAGUUUAGUUUGGCAUCUGAAAGAAUAUAUAUAUAUAUUUUUUUUUUUGUUAAAAUGAUCGAAUUCUCAAAUGAAAGUAGAAAAUAAAACUAAUUAUAUCUACUCCUCACAACUAAAAAAGUAUUUUUUUCAUCAAAGUGAUAAAGAUUUUAAAAGUACUUGAAUUCUCAUGCGCAUUUUCAAAAUAUAUUCUAAAAUGCACUCACUAUUAGUGAAUGAAGGACUAAUUAUUUCAAUAUAGUAAAACAGAUUUUAACCAUCACUUCCUUUCAAAAGUAGGAAAUUUUAACUUCAAUAUGCAACUAUUUAAAUGUAAAUGCAAAUUCUUCUAGCAGUGAAAAAAAUAGUAAAGUGCAACCCUUAGAAUAUAGAUCUGGUGGCCAUUACAUUACUGUAAAUUGUACUUCAAUUUCAUUCUCAGCUUUUUCUCUGAUCUACUUUUUAUGCUUCAUAAGGAAUGAGUCAGUCAGGAGGCAGAGUGGAGCUGGAAUAUUGCAGACAGACAUUUUCAUUAGGUAUUUUUCAGUCAAGCAUGAAAUUCAUCAAUGGAACAUUUAAGAUUUGUGUAUUUCAUUUUUAAUUCUGGAUAUUCCUUAUUCAUUUGUCUUUCUUGAUAGCAAAUGUUUUUAUUUGGAGGCAUUUGAUAGAGUGAUUUAUGGAGUUUGAUCAAUCAGAGCCUAUAUCAGCUUAGCACACUUGUAAAAGUAGAGAUGAGCAGUGAAAUCAGGAUAAACAAGGGCUUCCUGUCUUUUUCUUACAUUGUAAAAUUUGUUAGCCAGAACCAAAAAUUCAACACUCAGAAAGCAAGAAGUCAAGAGUCUUCAAAAAUGUAGCCAGAAUUUUUUAUUACAUAAAUUCACCUUAGAUACAAGAGAACUGUGUAACAUUAGCACUUCAAUGUCUUCCUUGUUUUAAGUAGUUUCUUUCAUAUUCUGUGCCUUGGCAGCUGCAGACAGACUAUAGCCAUGGACAAAUUCAGUCUAGAGAGAUUCAGAAGCAAAUCUGGCCCUCAGUCAAAACACUUUGAAAUGGAUGAAAGGGGGUCUAUUGACUUUGAUGGACUUUGGCUUUAGCUCUACCAGCUUCCACAGGCAGUCUGGGGUUCUGAUUCUGGCUCCACAUGAUGAUAAUAUAUUUUAUUCAAUGGCUGCUUAGGUAUAUAUAUAUUGAAUUGCACAUAGAAUAGGUGUAGGAAUACAGAGCUUUACCCCAGAGAUGUUGUUUAAAUAGUGAAGAUACAUACUAUAUAUGAUAUAUACAUCCAUAAUACUUCUGAAUUUUCUGUGAUUUUCCUGCAGUCACACAAAUUUUCACAGAAUCGUAGAAAACUCUGAGUUGGAAGAGACCCACAGAGAUACACAAGUCCAAGUCCUAGAUCCACAAAGGUCUUAAAAGUUACUUGAAUUUUUAAAUUAAAAAUAAAUUUCAAAUUUAAAAAAUUAUUACUUAAAAAUUAAGCUAAAUAUCUAAGACUUAUAUAAGCAUUUAAUGAACUCUAGUAGUUUGUGGUCAUGCCUACAGCCCAGGGCAGCCUGUUCCAUGCCCACUGCCUUCUGGUGCAGAACCUGUCCUUAACCCCUAGCUGACACUGCAUCCAAAAUGAGGCCUCCCCUCAGCCUCUUCCUUGGGCUGCACAAACCCAGGGACCUCACACACAGCAUAUAUAUCUUGCCCUCUACACCCUCUACCAUCAUUGCAGCUCUUCCUUGGACAGUGAUAAUUUUUUUAUCAUUUUUGCAUUAGAGCUAUCUUCUGUCAGUGUGUAACUGGACACAUGAGAUGAAGUGGAUUGCUCAUGGAAAAAUGAAGAAAGGAAUUACUAUCCACAUGAAAAUGACUUCUGUAACCAGAUCUGAGCUAAAAUAGCACAUACCAAGUUGUAGCAAGAAAAAAGGAAAACAGUUACCAUUGCAUUUCACCGAAUCCAAAUCUGCCUGAGAGAGGUUGUGGAUGCCCCGUCCCUAGAGGUGUUCAAGGCCAGAUUGGAUGGGGCCCUGGGCAGCCUGGUCUACUAUUAAAUGUGGAGAUUGGUGGCCCUGCAUGUGGCAAAGGGGUUGGAGAUUCAUGAUCCUUGAGGUCCCUUCCAACCCUGGCCACUCUCUGAUCUGCCUGACAUUGGGAAAAGGCCAGACUGCAAGCAUUAUAAGGAACUGUCAGACCAAGAGCAACAUAGCUAUGAAAUAAUAGCUUUACUGCUUUAGAAAGAAGAUGAAGAUAUAUGGCUAAGAUUUCCUGUGAUUUUUGAAAGUAUUACUAAGUCUUAGAAAGUUUGUGGCCUUUAUCUACACUUCUGUAAGCAUAAUAUGCUGAUCUAAGUACACGACAAGGGAGAAAAUGGUCCACCACCUGCUGCCUGAAUCGAGCACUCACCCACAGGUCACCAGUCUUGUCAAAAAGAUUUGCACUGACAGAAUAUGAAAUGGCAUUACCAUCAAAACAUAUAAGAUUAUCUUUCCUUUGAAGAAAAGCAACAGCUAAACUAACUUUGAAGUUAGAGGACAGGAAGGCAAUUAGUUCGAAAAUAUUAGACACAAAUGGAGAAAUAAAUUCAAUGUUGCCACUAAUAGAAACUGGCAGUUUCAAACCCUGAAAGAUGGGCUUCUUAGUGCACUUUUCAGUGCCAAAUCCCCAGCUGGAGCGAACUGAUUUCGGACCAUAAGAAUGGAAUCACUUAAAUAGCCAUGUCCAAUCCUCUAUAAAUGCAAGCUUUUCUGCUAUACAUAAACAGAUUUCACAGAACAUCUCUGUGUCACUAUACUCUCAUGAGCCAUAGACCAUGUUCUGAUAACCCACAUAAAUUUGAGGCUUACACUGAAAGACUAAGAGAUGUAUCACAAGAACAAAGCAAAGGAAACUGUGGAAAUUUAAGAAAUUAUGCUAAUCAAAACUUUGCAGAUGAUUUUAAAAAGUGAACUACGCUAUGGAAUACCUAACUUCUCCUCUGCUUGCAAAAGACUAAACAGGAAUCUGGUUAGUGAAAACAUCUUUGAACAUAUGAACAAAAUAGAGGCAAUUAGGCACUUAUGAAAGUACAGUGCUAUCGAAGGGAUCAAAUAUGGGAUUUCUGGUUGCCUUAAGCACUUGCAGAGCUUCAGUAUUCUUCAGUUUAUAUUAGUUUAAUAUCAAGGCUUCAGUCUUUAGAAUAUAUUUGACAUUACUUAAAGCUAUGUUACAAUUUCUGGUAUCACUUUUUUAAAUAUUUUUACAUAAUUUUGAAUAUCAACUAAGCUGAGCUGUUCAUCCUAAAAUAUGUUAACUGAAUCUCAAAUGGCUACAUUCAGCUUUUGCACUUCAUUAUCCACAAACACGCAAUCUGCUGUCUUGCUGCAGUACUGAUGACCAUAGUAACACAUUCAUUGAAUGGCUUGGGUUGGAAGUAACCUUAAUGACCAUGUAGUCCCAAUGCCCCUGCUGUGGGCAGGGUUGCCUCUCACUAGAGCAAAUUGCUCAGGGAUCCAUCCAGCAUGGUCUUGAAGUAUCACUGAAUACAUUUUGCAGACAGCAAGUAAUUAUUUUCCCCAUUGAGAGAGUAACAUGGCAUCUAUAGAAAUACAGAGCUUAGUGAGUGUUAAAUCCUUUACUAUUACUGUUAUGCAGUUGAUUUCCUAAAGAAUCCAGGCCAUCCUUUUAAAUGCAAUCUAUGCAAGCUGUUCAUGUCUUUUCUGCCUUUCUUCUGAUCUGUUGUCUAAAACUAAGGUAAGGCUUACCUUGACAAUCACCUGAGAAUUUUCAGAAAAUACAGAAUGUACCUGUUGUUCUUUUUAACAGAAUCUGCUAUUGCUAGCAUAAAUCAUAACUCUGUGAAUAUAUGCUGAAACUAUACUUUUGUUCAGACAAAUCUGAAGAUGUUAUUAAUACUACUUAAAACCUCGACUGGCAUAGACAUCAGCUUCACAUCAGAACACCUCUCACACUAUUUCUCCUUAUAAAAGUUAAAAUCAAUUGCAGAUCUCUUAAAAUGAGCCAUCAGAUUUGCGUUUUUUAAGAUAACAGUGAUAUCAGCAGUGGUUCUCAUGCUGGAAAACUAUUCCUCUGGCAGGUCACCAGAAUUUAGAUUUGGCAGGCUGCAAAGUGUAAUGUAAGGUUUACUUGCUCAAUCAAGCAUUCAAUUAACUAACACGUCAGUAUGCCGGUCCUUUGUGAGGCAAAAUAAAAUGUGCUAAAGCACACUGAACCAUCUGAAUGGAUAGUUGCAUAAUUAAUAUUUGUUUUUAAUUUAUUGUAAGUUGUCCAGAUGCUCUGGCAAUCAGUCCCUUAGAUAUCCUUCAAAUAAUUGACCGAGUCCUGUAAUCUUACUAGAGGGCAGCAAAUUUUCCUCUGUUUGAUUAGAAUUGAAUAAAUGAUUCAGCAGACAUUUUCAAAUUCUUUUUAAUUUUUUUUUUCUAAUUAAUGAAUUGUUAACAGUUCUGAAAUCAUUUUCUUCAAUUGCCCAUUUGUUGAUUGAUAUGGUUUAUCAGUUAUCCACAAAUUAUCUAAGAUCAUCAUUGUUUUGAGACCAAAACAUUCUCCAACUCAGUAAACCAAGCUUUAUUAAUAUGAGGUUUGUCAAAGUAAUAGUGCUCUUCUUGGGAGAAAAGAAAGCAUGUAAUUUCAGGGCAUCUCAUCUUUGUUAGCUAUUUCAGCAUUAGGUUAAUUAUAUUUGUGUAAUCAUUAAGCAGAAAAAGACUGAGGGCAAUAUAGAGAUAGGAUGCGAGGAAAUUAUCUCAGAUUGCACCACAAUAGAUUUUGUUUGUGUAUUAGGAAAAAUUAUCUACACAAAAAGGGUGGUCAAGCAUUGGAACAGUGCCCAGGAAAGCAAUGGAGAUAUAUAGAUCUCCAUUGAUCUAUAGAAUAGAUCUAUAUAUUCUAUAUAUUCUAUUAUAUAUUCUAUAUAAUAGAAUAGAUCUAUUCUCUUACAGAUUUGUAUCAUUCAUUUAUGCAUUCUCUCAAUUCAUACACUGGACAAAAUGUCAUUUGCAGAAGAAUAAUUCCUUUACCUAUCAACUCUGUUUUAUUUUUAUUCUGUCCAAAGUUACACUGACUUCUCUACUGCCUUAUUCCUGGCAAACAGUUAAUGAUCACACUCAAUGUGCAAAUAUAACAGGGAUCCUUAUAUUUUUCUGGUUAGUUGUAAUCGUACAAAGCCAUUCUCACAGAUGAACACAAAUAAUAACAGAUGCUACAAGCAUUAGUGUACAUAGAGACAUUUAUUUGAAUGAUAAUGGAAACCUCAGCAAGGGUAGAUUGGCUCAUAAAUCAGAUUUACGAAAUACUUUUUUGACCUCUGCAUCUUGCAUUCACAAUACAGCGGGUUCAUUUCAAGAUAAACUGCUUAGCAGCAACCUUUUUAAAUGUAAUAUUUCUAUGUUUAAAAAAUCUACUUUAUUUAACGCUUUACAAUACACAAUAUUUAAUUGUGUUUUAUAAUAUUUUAUUUGCAGCUAUGAAAGCUCAUUAAAAUAUGUGAAUAAUAUUUCCCAAGCUCAAUUUAAGCUGUUUUCAACAUUUGUUUUUUGACUGGGGUGUCCUCCGGGUUUUCAUUCUCAGAUGUUAGGAUUUUACAUACUUGUUAACUCAAAAACAAACAAGCACGACAGAAAAAUCAUACACACACACAAAACAGUUUGAGAGGUCAUCAAUGAAGUAUUGAGAAGAUAAAGCACCAAAAUGACUGUAUCUGUAAAACACUAACCAUUCCGAACAAAAGUAAUAAGAACUAAGCAUCUCAUAUUUUUGAGUUAUUCAGUCAGAAACAAGUUCUAUUCAGAUUUGAAAUUGGACUAGAACUUUUGUGCAAAUAUGUCAAUUCUAUCAAACUCAAAAUCCUACAUUUUCUUAUUUCUUGGCCUUGUUUUAUUCAUUAAAGCACUCCUGCACAGAAAGGAGGUCUACGGAUCUUGCAAACAGAACUGCUCCUUAAAUAUCAGUACACAUCUUACUCCUAUUUCAAAGAAGUAAGAAAUAUUUGACAAUCCGUAGCUUAAUGUAAAAAAAACCCAAACAACUCUAACACGCCAUGUUUCAGCUUUAUUUUCAUUUACAUUAUCUUGGACAAUUAUUCUGAGGAAAGUCAUUAAUCUCAUGCAUAGUCAAAGGUAUGCACGAUAUUAAUGAUUUUAGGAAAAUGAAAUUCAAGAGAGGUUUUCUGAUAUCAUUCACAUUAUGCAAACAUUUAACAUUUCUGCUUCUGCUAGGGUACAUUACCAGCACACAGAGAAUUCAACUUUGGGUUCCUAUGGAUUAAAAAAGUAACUAGCAUGCUAUGAAAUGGAAAAGAAAAUUAUUUAGCACAUAUAUGCAAGCUUUCAGUAUGUCAAAAUUCAAAGGGUAUCAUUUCUAUAAUUGGUGCUCCUACUGUAAGUGAGAAUUUUACCUGCACUUUUCUAAGUUAAUCUGUAUACAAAUUGUAAGUAUAAAAAAACAGUUCAAGAUUUCUGACUUUUUUUUUCUUUUUUUUUUUUUUUAAAGAAGCUUUUUUUUCUACCCAUCUAUUUUGUCAUAUUUCUUCACCUUGAAAGAGAGAUAAAGAUAGAGGGAACUCUUUUACAGUCCUUAGCUAGAGCUAAAAGGACACAGGAAAUAUUGAAUCCACAUAUUAAUUGAUUAUUUUUGUAGGAGUUUAGCACUUGACACUCUUUUAUACUGCCAUAAUUAAAAUAAGUCGAUGGGUCAAUUAAAGUGAACUUUUCAAUAUUAAUGACCUUUGAUUACACCUAACGGAAGAAUCAAUGAUAUAAAGCCAGGACAGACUAGAAAUACUGAUCCAGAAACCUUGUAAAAUAGGCACACAUAUCAUGCAAAAAAGUUUGAAUGCAAAGAUAAAGUAGGGUUGUGUCAUACGCAAAUAAACAGAGUUCUAUCAUACAGUUAUAUGAUAAAUAUUAACAGAUACAGCACUCAUCCAAGCCAUCUCUGUUAAGUGAAGUUGUAGCAUGAAACACAACCUAAGCUUCUUAAAAGUAACUGGUGCCAAUGCUUAAUCAGAUAUUGUAAUUACCAGAAAUAUCACUUAUCCAUGUUCUAUUAGACCUAUUUUCAGCAGCAAUGCUUUUAUUUACUUAUUAUUUUCAAAGCACUCACUGUUCUUGACAGAUCUCAUUUUCACCCUGUAUCCAUAAUGUAAGAUUUCUAAAGUAGACAGGUUAGCCUAGCUAUGGCCCAAAUAAUUUGGUGAAAGGUCAACAGUGUGUUCAGUGGGGAAGGAGCCAACUCAGUUACAAGUGUUUUUCAAAGUCUCGCCUUUUAGCUUUUCAAAUAAAACAUCUGAGAAAAAUCAAGAAAAGCCAGCUGCCACUUUACUUUCAAACAACUGUACAAUAGGUGAGCAUGGCUAAACAACAGAACACAGCUUAACUCAGUGGUUUGCUUUCAAAACAUUACAGCAAACGGAAAAACAACACUAGCAAUAACAAAUGUUUAAAUUAGUAAAAAAAAUUAAAAAUAAUAAUAAAAAAAAUUGUGGCGCUAUCAUUAACAUAUGCCAAAAAAAGGAUGGAUAGAUACGUUACUGGGGCAUUUUUUAUUUAUUUAUGAACACACAAGUUAGUAGCAGCAUAGUUCAUACUAAAAGGAUAGUUUGUUAUUGCAAAGUGUAGUGCUCCUUGAUUUUUUUCCUGCAGUAAGUAGCAAUACAUCAAAACCCACAUAUUUAAUCAACUUAUCUUGAUGUCAGAAGACCAUGGCAUACCCUGAAGAAUAAAUAUUGAAUAGUGUUUAUAUCCUGCCAGUAUAUUCUUGGGUAUCCAUUUGUUGCACAGUUAAUAUACAUACAGAAAUGACUGCCAUUUAUUACCAGUACUAACAAAACAGUCAAGACUUAUUGUGUGCAUAUGCAUAUUAUAUACAUAUUAUGUAUGCAUUAUGCAUAUGUAUACAUAUUUACAAUAUUAUAUAUAUUAGUUGUAUAUCAAUAUGCAUAUAAAUUUCUGUUUAAAUAUUUACAAACAAUUAUCACAUUUUUCAGACUCAGUCUUUAAUAUUGCUUUCAACUGACUGAAAGGGCACACGGAAACAAUGGGAACGUAUGGAAAGAGAUUAUCUGUUUUGAGACCAGAUUGUGAUAUGUUUACUCACACUGAAUAACUUAUGAGGAAUAUUCCUUCUGUGGUGUAAAGUACUCUGCUGUGAAGGAGGGUCAUGAUGUGGCACUCUGUAUUUACUCAUGCCAUUGGAUGUAGGUUCUCAGUGUUACAUUAGAACUAAUUCUAGGGCUUGAUUGCUUCAUUGUAAAGCCCACCACAGGAUUGUGUUCAUGAAGUAGGUACUGGUAACAAGCUCUAACCUCCCCUACAUAGGAAGUAGAAAGACGACUGAAGUCCUUCAUUUCUAAGUUUAGUUCAUGACUUCAUGCAACUUUCAAAGUAGAUUGCCAAUGUCACUGUGUAUCCAAAUAGCAUUUAGGCUUAGAAAUAUUAUUUGUUACUUAAGGCUGAUGACACUGCUUAUUUUGCUCACCUUUUAGCCUAGAGCAUAUAAUGAAUCUCCAAAAUGGGAAUGGUUUUGUGCAUGAGGGAUACACAGUUACUCACUCUCACUAACCGUGGAGAAGAAAGAACAGCUUUCAAGUUUAGCUUGAACUUCUUUCUUGAAAAGUUUAACUAACUCUCCCACCUUUUUUUUUUUUUUGCUGUACUCACAUUAAUUUCAAAUUCUGUCUGACUCCCUACUAAAACAGCAGGGGAUUGGCACUUCAGAGACACAAGCCCAUAUGCUAAUUCCCCAUCUUCUGUCAGUGUCCAACACUUGUACCCACACAGUCACACAAGUGGAAAAAAUAUAUAUAUAUUUGAAAAGCAUUAACCCACUUUACCUAGGAAAUUGCCAGAAUUGCAUAGAUAAUUACUAUAUGUACAAGCAAGAAUAUGCAAUUAAGGCUCUUCUGGUAAAUACCAUGUACAUAAUUUUUCCAUUGAAUUGUGUGCACUUGAUGGUCAGGAUGUUGGCUAGACCUACUCCUCAACUUUAACCUCAAGUAAAUGCCAGAUGAAGGGGAUAGACCCUUCCUUUACCCUUAUGGUAAAGGACCUGAUAUUACAAACAUUUGCAGAAGCAAGUGGUUUUAUGCUUGGAUCAUAUGCAGAACCAGAAACUCCCAGAAUUCCUCAAAUAAAAAUAUUCUUUCAAAAAGAAAAAGAAAAAAAAUGAAGCUUGAUCUUAUAAAACCAUAAUCUCAGCUAUCUCAAUCCAUAUGGCCUAUGCUGAUGAUUCCACUGGAUAUAACCACCUGAGUAGGUUUGUUAAUGAUGCAAAAUAUUAAAAAUUAAGAAGUGAAAGUGAAUAUUACUACCUGCUCAAGUAUAAAUGCUAUCAGACAAAUUCUAAUUUCUUUUUCAGAAAUACACAUGGUUCAAAUAAUGAUUACUUUCCAAGGCAUGGUGACAUUUCAAUAUAUGGAAAAAGAAUAAUUUCACAAGGGAUAUGUAUUAUAUAUUUAAAUUAAUAUCAUAUUGCAAAAGAGAGAAUACACAGUGUCAAAAUUACUUUCUAAAAAAAAAUAAACAAACAAAAAACCACUGUAGGACUAAUAGCUUAUACGUAUAUAAACUGAGAAUAAACCCAAUAGCACUCCAAGUAACAGAAGAAUCCUCACUGCCUUUUUCCCAACCUAACAUCUUCUUUUCAUUUACAAGCAGUUCAAUAAAAUAUCUGAUCCCAGUAUUAAUUUUCUUUAUAGUGAAACUGGAAAAUAAAAAUAAAGAAUUGACAGAUCAAACUACCAUUCAGAGGAUCCAUGAAUGUAGGGCUGUUUUACUUGUCAUAUUUGAACUCAGAGAGCAGAGAAGUUUCAUAUUUCAUAAUAAUUAAGUAAAUAAAUUCCAGAUUUGCCAUGGAAACACUGACAUUCAUGAACAAACAGCAGCACGUGAUCACACUCUAGUCAUACAGUAUUAUCCUUUCAAACAUAAUUCUGCAGUGAAACUGCUCUCAGCUUAGUAGCCCAAUCAUACCUCCCUACAUAUUUCUGGAUUAAUCCUUUUGGACUGAGACCGUCAUCUUUCUCCUGGGAUAUAAAGCAGAAAAGAUACCAUUUACAAAAUAUAAGCAUCAACAAAUGCCAUUUUUUUUUUU
Lagopus muta (rock ptarmigan) is the source of this 15883-nucleotide long non-coding RNA. RefSeq lists it as uncharacterized. The transcript is spliced from 2 exons. The record is from RefSeq and is a predicted model, not a curated record. Lineage: Eukaryota; Metazoa; Chordata; Aves; Galliformes; Phasianidae.